Molecule: transfer RNA, 74 nt
Filed under: Sellimonas intestinalis
Lineage: Bacteria; Bacillati; Bacillota; Clostridia; Lachnospirales; Lachnospiraceae
Description: tRNA-Met
Rfam family: tRNA
About the family: Transfer RNA (tRNA) molecules are approximately 80 nucleotides in length. Their secondary structure includes four short double-helical elements and three loops (D, anti-codon, and T loops).
Source: RNAcentral
GGCGGGAUAGCUCAGUUGGCUAGAGCAUACGGUUCAUACCCGUAGUGUCGCUGGCUCGAAUCCAGUUCCCGCUA